GGAUAGCUCAGUUGGUUAGAGCGCAGGACUCAUAAGCCUGAGGUCAGUGGUCGUUAUCCUUGUUCA
Molecule: transfer RNA, 66 nt
Filed under: Candidatus Pelagibacter sp.
Lineage: Bacteria; Pseudomonadati; Pseudomonadota; Alphaproteobacteria; Candidatus Pelagibacterales; Candidatus Pelagibacteraceae
Description: tRNA-Met
Source: RNAcentral